Long non-coding RNA from Dama dama (fallow deer), 2830 nucleotides. RefSeq lists it as uncharacterized. Lineage: Eukaryota; Metazoa; Chordata; Mammalia; Artiodactyla; Cervidae. The record is from RefSeq and is a predicted model, not a curated record. The transcript has 6 exons.
UCUUAACUUGUGUGAGCGAAGAAUGCCACGGAAAGAGACUUCUUAAAGAAAUAAAACCGAGAAAACUGGAGAUGAAAAGGAGAGAAAGGAUUGAGUGACAUAGAGCAGAGAAACCUCUCUGUGAAAUUAGACCUGAAGUAUUUGCCCAGGUAAACAAGAAACAAGUUCAAGAUUUCUGAAGUGGAAAACCUGGCAAAUGCUUCUGUAUUGAGUUUCUAGUGACUUGGAGAAAGGAGAGGAGAUGAAAUUUGAGUUGUCUUAAAGAAUGAGCAAGCAUUUGUCUGUGAGUAGACUGUGAACCUGUCAGUUCUCUGCCUGCACUGGGAAUGAUUCCAGCCCUUCUCUGCAAAUUGUUUCUUUCAAGACUGAGUUGAAGAUCAAUCUUUUAAUGACAGCGCUACAUAUGAAAUUGUAUGAGAGCUCACUAAAGUUGCACUAGAAUGAGAAUAACAAUUGCUUUAAAUGUGUUUAUUAAGCAAGAAAGAAUUAGGGAUUGGAAUGAAAACUGACCUUUUCCAGUCCUGUGGCCACUGCUGAGUUUUCCAAAUUUGCUGGCAUAUUGAGUGCAGCACUUUCACAGCAUCGUCUUUUAGGAUUUGAAAUUGCUCAACUGGAAUUCCAUCACCUCCACUCGCUUUGUUCAUAGUGAUGCUUCCUAAGGCCCACUUGACUUCACAUUCCAGGAUGUCUGGCUCUAGUUCAAGGGACCCUCAAAAGUCUUCUCCAGCACCACAGUUUGAAAGCAUCAAUUCUUCAGUGCUCAGCCUUCUUUAUGGCCCAACUCUCAUAUCCAUACAUGAUUACUGGAAAAGCCAGAUGGACCUUUGACGAGACAGACCUUUGUCAACAAAGGACUCUCCAGCACAUAUCCAAAAUGGAAGGGAAUACACUGCACCCCUCACACUUCAUUGGUGCUCCCUCAAGACUGCCUCACCAGCUGAAAGCACACAAUGGAACAGUGUGCCUUUCAGCAAAUAGAGUGAGCAAUGGAAAAUGCAAAGCAUCAACCCUGAAUACAAGCUGUGGCAGGCUGGACGCGAUUCCAAAUGAAGAGAAACUGCUUAUUUUCACUGAAACGGACUGAAGUCCUCUGGGAAGGAUUAUUUGGCUCCCAUUCUGAGUGCUGGUGUUGAUAAAACUGCUGCACCCAGGCUCAGCACGCCCUCUGUUGGAUUUAGCUGACAUUUAGUAACAAGAGGAACAGGAGAGCAUCCUGUCUGAUGCAAAUACUUCUUGGACACAGGCGAGCAGCGAAAGGGCUCUUUCUGUGAAAUUCUCAAAGAGCCAUCAAAUGAGUCAGAGCAUAUUCACUAGACUAUCCCUGGGAUAUAAUUUGAUUCAUCCAAAAAUAUGGACAUUCUUUUUUGAAGACCAGAAAUCCCUUCCUGAUGGGAGAGUCAGAAAUGGCAUGGACUUGAUUCUUUUUAUGCAUGCAACCACAAAAACAAAUCAACCCCCAAAACUUAUCUUCAGGACCCCCCAGUGUAAUCUGUAUAUGUCCACUGAGAGACAACUGGUUAAAUAAGUAUAGUACACCCUUCCCAGGUGACUCAGUGGUAAAGAAUCCACCUGCCAAUGAGUUCGAUUCCUGGGUCGGGAAGAUCCCCUGGAAAAGGAAAUGGCAACCCACUCCAAUAUUCUGGCCUAGAAAAUCCCAUGGACAGAGGAGCCUGGUGGACUACAGUACAUGGGGUCACAAGGAAUUGGACACGAUUUACCGACUAACCACACACAUGCACAUUGGACUCUUUGUGACCCCGUGAAUCACAGCUCGCCAGGCCUCCCUGUCCAUCACCAACUCCCGGAGCUUAUCCAAACUCAUGUCCAUCGAGUCAGUGAUGCCAUCCAGCCAUCUCAUCCUCCGUUGUCCCCUUCUCCUUCUGCCCCCAAUCCCUCCCAGCAUCAGGGUCUUUUCCAAUGAGUCAACUCUUCACAUGAGGUGGCCAAAGUAUUGGAGUUUCAGCUUCAGCAUCAGUCCUUCCAGUGAACACCCAGGACUGAUCUCCUUUAGGAUGAACUGGUUGGAUCUCCUUGCAGUCCAAGGGACUCUCAAGAGUCUUCUCCAACACCGCAGUUCGGAAGCAUCAAUUCUUCAGCGCUCAGCCUUCUUCACAGUCCAACUCUCACAUCCAUACAAGACCACUGGAAAAACCAUAGCCUUGACUAGACGGACCUUUACAUUAGUAAGUUACAAAAACCAAAGUGCUGAUAUAUAUAUAUAUCAGUUUUUGUAGGUGUGCAAAGACUUCCUAGAGAAGAUUCCACAAGAAAAUAAUAAUUGUUGUCCCCUGAACCAGAAAUUAAGUUUGCUUCAGAUAGGGAUAGAAAGAAAACUUCUUUUCACUAUAUUUCUUUGUGCACUAUUUGCAAUUUGCAUCUUAUGUGUCACCUAUGAAAGCUAAUCAAUUUUCUAAAAGAAAGAACCUUAUGAAGGUCCCGUUAGUUUCCUUACUGUCACUCUUCUUUCUCUCCAGAAGUCUUGUCAAUCCUCAGUGGAAGGAACUCAAACUGUUAUUAACGUAUUUUUCUUAUCAAAUUCUAAAAUAAAAAGGUACUCUGUCAGUUCUAGUAUAUAAAUACAUGUGAUUUUAUAUACCAGUUCAUUCUACUUGAAUCUCAGACAAGAAAGCCACUUGUUUCUGUGGAAACAGCAAUUGAAGUGUCAGGGGAAAUAUUUUGUUCAAUAGCUGUUGGGACUAUUCCAGAUGAUUCCAGGCUAUCCCAGACAGUGAGUUCCUCAGCUUCUUUCUGGGUUGGUGGCUUCUCUGACUGGAUUAAUAGGGCCUUGCAAUUUUUUACGCUUCCUAAUGAUAAUGCAUGCCAGAUGAGA